Small nucleolar RNA from Prosopis cineraria, 74 nucleotides. RefSeq annotates it as small nucleolar RNA Z199. The record is from RefSeq and is a predicted model, not a curated record. NCBI's taxonomy places the organism in Eukaryota, Viridiplantae, Streptophyta, Magnoliopsida, Fabales, Fabaceae. The transcript has a single exon.
AAUCUCUGAUGAGAAAACUGCAACAAUAUGAUGGAUAAACUCCAUGAUUCGUUGUAUUUAAGUCUCUGAUGAUU